AUAAUCAGGGGGCAGGAAACAGGGGGGAGGCUCACAGUUUUGCAUAGCGUGCUUGCACAAUAGUAAACAUAUGAAUGCUAAGUGUUAGGGUUGUUUCCCCCCCUUUAGUGCUGCAGAGGUCGCAUUAAGCACUCAGCCUGGGGAGUAGGGUCGCAGAGACUUAAACUAAAGGGAAUUGAGGGGGCCCGCGCACAAGUGGUGGAGCAUGUGGUUUUAAUUCGAAGCUACGCAAAGAACCUUUCCAGGUCUUGACAUCCUCUGACAACCCUAGAGAUAGGGCAUUCCCUUCGGGGACAGAGUAACAGGUGGUGCAUGGUUGUCGUCAGCUCGUGUCGUGAGAUGUUGGGUUAAGUCCCGCAACGAGCGCAACCCUUGAUUUUAGUUGCCAGCAUUCAGUUGGGCACUCUAAGGUGACUGCCGGUGACAAACCGGAGGAAGGUGGGGAUGACGUCAAAUCAUCAUGCCCCUUAUGACCUGGGCUACACACGUGCUACAAUGGACAGAACAAAGGGCUGCGAGACCGCAAGGUUUAGCCAAUCCCACAAAUCUGUUCUCAGUUCGGAUCGCAGUCUGCAACUCGACUGCGUGAAGCUGGAAUCGCUAGUAAUCGCGGAUCAGCAUGCCGCGGUGAAUACGUUCCCGGGCCUUGUACACACCGCCCGUCACACCACGAGAGUUGCAACACCCGAAGUCGGUGAGGUAACCUUUAUGAGCCGCCGCCAUGGUCGGG
RNAcentral lists this ribosomal RNA (730 nucleotides) under uncultured prokaryote. Its description in RNAcentral is "bacterial SSU rRNA". It matches the Rfam family "Bacterial small subunit ribosomal RNA", at positions 740 to 1467 of the family's 1533-position model. The record is from RNAcentral.